CCUUGCCAAUGAUGCUUUAGUUAUCCCUGUCUGAAAUCCAAGUACUACUUGGAUCUGAGGAUAGAUUUUACUUUUCUGAGGCAAUG
Strongylocentrotus purpuratus (purple sea urchin) is the source of this 86-nucleotide non-coding RNA. Lineage: Eukaryota; Metazoa; Echinodermata; Echinoidea; Camarodonta; Strongylocentrotidae. The record is from Rfam.